GAUGAACGCUGGCGGCGUGCCUAAUACAUGCAAGUCGAGCGAACAGACGAGGAGCUUGCUCCUCUGACGUUAGCGGCGGACGGGUGAGUACCACGUGGAUAACCUACCUAUAAGACUGGGAUAACUUCGGGAAACCGGAGCUACUACCGGAUAAUAUAUUGAACCGCAUGGUUCAAUAGUGAAAGUCGGUUUUGCUGUCACUUAUAGAUGGAUCCGCGCCGCAUUAGCUAGUUGGUAAGGUAACGGCUUACCAAGGCAACGAUGGGUAGCCGACCUGAGAGGGUGAUCGGCCACACUGGAACUGAGACACGGUCCAGACUCCUACGGGAGGCAGCAGUAGGGAAUCUUCCGCAAUGGACGAAAGCCUGACGGAGCAACGCCGCGUGAGUGAUGAAGGUCUUCGGAUCGUAAAACUCUGUUAUUAGGGAAGAACAAAUGUGUAAGUAACUAUGCACGUCUUGACGGUACCUAAUCAGAAAGCCACGGCUAACUACGUG
This 497-nucleotide ribosomal RNA is filed under the name uncultured bacterium. Its description in RNAcentral is "partial 16S ribosomal RNA". It matches the Rfam family "Bacterial small subunit ribosomal RNA", at positions 28 to 507 of the family's 1533-position model. The record is from RNAcentral.